Molecule: long non-coding RNA, 6302 nt
Organism: Pongo pygmaeus (Bornean orangutan)
Lineage: Eukaryota; Metazoa; Chordata; Mammalia; Primates; Hominidae
Exons: 4
Source: RefSeq, a predicted model, not a curated record
GAAGGGGGAACGGAAAUGAACAUGAAAAACGACAGCGCAUCUUUCAGCGCCCCAGUCCUAACAUUCUUUGGAUCUGUUGAUAUUCCAGGAACAAUCCUGGCUCCCUGUACCUUUAUCCUUACCAAGUCACUACGCACGUGGAAGUGGAACUUUGUUUUCCUGCAGCUUCCCGCGCCGCGGGAGUGCGCCGAGGAGGGAAGAGACAGAAAAGCCAAAGAAACGAGGAGCGCACAAGUGGUUAGCCGCACGUUGGGUGGUCGCGGACAGUCGCUUUAAAAAUCACCAUUAUUCUGUCAACUCGGUGCUCCUAGGAGCCAAUAAAGGAACCGGUGGAGGAGUUGUCGCCUUCCGUCCCCCACCAACCCCUAAGGUCCCAGGACUCACCGCUGCUCAGCUCGUAGCCAAAGAGGGGGCUGGCGCCCAUCGGGGCGGUGGUGGCGGCGGCGGUGAUCAUGCAGUUCCAUCUCUCGUGUCUGAACUGGUUCCUGCACUCCUGAAUGCCCAGCCGGGCGCCCUCCCGGAUGCUCGGCAGCAGGGGAACAGCACGAGCAGGGCUGCCCACAGCGCGCACAAGCGGGCCAGUCCCAGGAGCGCCGCCCUGUCCAUGGCCCCCGCAUGGAGUCCCCCAGCCCAGCCGCUCCUCUUUUGCACCCCCUCCCCAGAGGCCUUUCGGUCCGCAGGGAGCUGUAGGAGAGGUGGAGAGAGCAGCUUGGGGAUCUCCUCCUGCACAGGGGUGGAGAUGUGCAGGAGAUGCGGGAGCGCCCCUCGCAUUCCUAGGUGAGAAACUUCUGUUGAUGUAUCCGCGUCUCCAUCGCCCCCGGCCUCUCCUCCCAUCUCCUCCCCCUGGCCGCGCCUGGAGCCUGAUUGGCUGAGCAGCGGCCCCGCAUCUCAUCAUCUCGGGACCUCAGGCUCUUAUUGGUGGAGAGCGGCUCCGCGGGGGGCGCUCCGGGCCCUGGCCUCAGGGACAGCGUGUCCAGACCUGGGUGUGUCAUGACCUUUCCUGCUGUCACAGUCUCCUUAGAAUGGGUGGUUGUGGGGUUGAUUCAACCCGAAGACUGACAGGACGCUCUGUCUUAGGAACCUUGGGGGAAAGCGUGGGUUUGAUGAGUCCCACCCAUCACACCAACAUCUGGGUUACCCUCUGGGUGUAGUGGCUGGAAAAUGUCACUGACCUUUUUUUCUUCUCCUUCACCUCACAGGAGAAUAAUCUUUUUGAGUCAGAGUUGGUACCAAACAAAUUAACCUUCCAGUCCCCUGCUUGAGGUCCCACUGUCAGGAGACUUUAGAGAGUGGGUGAAGUGCUGUCAGGCUUACAAUCACUGUCAUUUAUGUAUGCAUUUAUUUUGAGCAAAAGAGAAGAUUCCAGUCUAGCAUCUCGUCUGCCAUAUUUCAAUCGUGCUCUGUGAUUUCCUUUUCCCUGUUUGUCUUAUUUCCUGCAGUCCCUGAGAACGCUGUAAGUCCCCUGCAGAAGAUGGGGACGAAGAUAGUGAGAGGUUUCUGGAGAGUUCUAGAGUACAUGAUAGAUGUGCUCUGACCUUUUUCUCCAGUCCUACCUUACGAUUCUCAUGGUGGGAGGGUCCCCGCCCUUCUCCCCCAACCUCAGUUGAAAGUUCCCUAGGAUCGGGCACCCCUUUGCCACCUACCCGUUGCGUCCCUGCAGGACAGGGCUACACAUGGAAGACAUAUUUUUUAAAACGUACUUAUUAAAUACCUGCUGUGUGCCUAGUCCUGUGGGAAUUUAUAAAGACAAGCUCUCUUCCCACAACUGUGCAAAUAAACCAUACACAAGUAUAAAAGAAAAUACGUUUAGAUGAUCAGUAAGAGAGAUUAAAGAAUCUAGCAGGGUACUCCCUGGAGCCGAAGAUAGUUCGGAAGCAGGAAGUGUUCCAGUUACUGGCAGAUUUGGAAGGUUAGUUAAUCAGUAUUUUGUAGGAUGGAAGGUCUCCAAGAGUUAUCUGAAGGCAAGUGCAAUGUGUUUAGCUGUGGUAUUGGAAAAGCCUGCCUCACCUAAUUAGACACAAGAAAUAUUUCUAAGAAGCAUUAUCUGUCCUUAGAGAUCUUUUGAAGUGUUAAUACAUUCCCAUGGUGGACAUAUCAGCUCAGUGGGUACCCAAAGCCAAAAUUACUUAAAUAAAGGAUUUGGGGCCAGGUGCAGUGGCUCACACCUGUAAUCCCAGCACUUUUGGAGGCCAAGGUGGGCGGAUCACCGGAGGUCAGGAGUUCAAGACCAGCAUGGCCAACAUGGUGAAACCCUGUCCCUGCUAAAAAUACAAAAUUAGUUGGGUGUGGUGGUGCAUGCCUGUAAUCCCAGCUACUCGGGAGGCUAAGACAGGAGAAUUGCUUGAACCCAGGAUGUGGAGGUUGCAGGGAGCUGAGAUAGUGCCACUGCACUCCAGCCUAUGGCACACAGUGAGACUCCGACUCAAAAAAAAAAGGAUUUGAUAACAUUAGCUGCUUAUCUCCUAUAUCAAUCAGCCUAGAGCAAUAAAAGCUCACUGAAAUUUUCUUCCUAUCCCAUUCACUUCCUUAUACAACAACUGUUUAUUGAGUGUACACUAUGUACCAGGUUCUAAAGCCACAUUUUAAAGAGUCAAGGAGUCAAGUUGAUGAUAGGAUGUAGAUACUGAUCCAGAAAUAUUUUGGCUAAUGGCUAGUGGCCUCUCUGAAAGUCAGAGCCUUCAUCCAAGCUCACUUUAUUCUGUGAGCUUCUCCAAGAGGGACCGUGGCGGAUUCAUUGCUGUAUCCCUGCCAUUGGGCCUACUACAUGAGAUCCUGUUUUUGAACAAAAUUUAUUGAGUGAAUUAACAAUGAGGAACAUCCUGAGUGGAUACGUAAGAGGCCUAAAUGCUGGAAUUACAGUAUUUACUUCAUUUCAAGGGGAAUUGGAAGUGGGGAGGCAAUCUCGGGGUUGGGGGUGCUGGACAAUAUCCAUACCUUAGGCUGAUUUUAGGGCCAACAGUGGUAGAUGCUUUAAAGAGGUGUUUGAUUUCUUAAAAAAUCAAAAAUAUAUAUUGAGUCUCUGUUAUGGGUAAGAAAGUGGGGAUAGCACUUACUCAAAUGAUUGUGGAAUUCACAGUCUACUUGGCAAGACAGACAAGGGAGCAUGCAGCUAUAAUACAUGCAAUAAAAUGUACGAAGUAGAGUGUGCUGUGAACACACAAAGGAAGAUUACUUAUUUCAGUCUUGGGGAUCAGAGUGGGGAGGAGACACUUGAAUGUUACCUUCAUUAUUAUUUUGGGGAUCUAGCACCAUCUAGGCAUCCAGAUAAAGUCUUUGGGGUACACUCAGAGGCUAUUCUGUCCUGAGAGUCAGAGACCACUGUGUCAAACAUUUUCAAACACAAGACACAACUUUAGGGCCUGAGUGGUCUUGCACCUCUUUUGUAUGGGCUAGAGCCUUAGGGGUCAUUCUGUCCCUAUCUCCAAAGCAAAGGAGACAUAUUUCUAGGAGCUGACUCAGCUGAAGAAGCAGACUUUUCAUUCAGUGAACAGACAUUUGAAUAAUAAUUUUGUUCCAGGAAUUGUGAACUUUCAUGUUCUGAGAGCUGCCAUACACCCCCAAAUCCCUCUUACUGUCUUUAUUUGCCUGUCUGUCUCUGUCUCAUUCUCCAUCUUUCUCUAUACAAAAUUCAUACUCACUUUACAGAUGAGGAAAUGAAUUUGGAGAGAUUAAGAAACUUGCUCGAGGUUACUCAAAAACAAUCAACAUUUAGAGGCCCCUCUUUUUUUUUUUUUUUUUUUUUUGAGAUGAGGUAUCACCCUAUUGCCCAGGCUGGAGUGUAGUGGCUCUAUCAUGGCCCAUUGCAGCCUCAACUCCCAGGCACAAGCGAUCCUCACCCUCAGCCUCCUGAGUAGCUGGGACUACAAGUGUGCACCAUUAUAUUCAGCUGCAUUUUUUAUUUUGUGUAGAGACAGGGGUCUCACUAUGUUGCCCAGACUGGUCUCAAAUUCCUGGCUCAAAUAAUCCUCCUGCCUCAGCCUCCCAAAGUGCUGGGAUUAUAGGCAUGAUCCAUGGCACCGGGCCAAGACCCUGUUUUUUUCACUACAUCAUACUUCUGCAUACCUAAUUCAAAACAUAUAUAUAUAUAUGUGUGUGUGUGUGUGUGUGUGUGUGUAUAGAGAGAGAUAUGUUAGGUGUUAUAUAUAUAUAUAUAUAUAUAUACAUAUGUACAUUUUUUUUUCCCUGAUCAAAUCCCCAAACCUUAAAACUCAGAUUACCAGGUCUUUGGGUCAAAAUUUUUUACUGGUGUCUAUGGUUCCUUACAUUACAGUUCACAGAUCUCUCCAUUGAAACAUUGAAAAAGUUGUUUUGUUCUCCAAAAAUAAACAAAACCCACCAUAGGGAGGUCUUUUGAGAAGCCCCUGUGAAGAGGGUCUCCCUGAGGCAAGUGGUGAGCUGUAUGGGUGCUUUUCCAUCUUUCUGGCUUUGCCCUCUGUGGUUUUUGCAGGCUGAGAGGGGCAGUGGGAAGAGCACUGGGUUGGGUUGGGUAACCGGGGCUCCUGUCAGCAGGUGAUGAUCGUGGACUACUCAUUUCAAUUUUGAGUCUCAGUUUUUUCAUUUGUAAAAUUAUCAAAAUUUCUUUUUCAGAUCUGAAUCUCUUACUGGAGCUACCAUAGGGCUGGAGGGAGGAGAGUGGUGUGUGUGUGUGUGUGUGUGUGUGUGUGUGUGUGUGCGCACAUGGUGGAGAGGGGGAAACUGCAUUUGCUGGGAGACUGCGGGAGGAGGAAACCUUAGCCAUUGACCAGAACUUGUCUACCUGAAAGAUGGUUCAGUCCCCUAGGUGGCAUAAGCCAGGAUUUUUUGGCCCCCAUCUUGUAUUAAUAUCUCCAGCUUCACUUUUGCUUCUGGAUUUCAAGGAAAAUGAAUCCAUUUUAAUUGCAGAAGUCAUUUAAAAUGGUUGAAUUUUAAAAUAUAAUCUUGUCAGAUCAUAUGAAAUUUUAUUUGGAGAAUAUAAGAAGUUACAGAUAUUUUAUCCCGAUAUAUGAAAGUGAGGAGCUCUUUCAUAAUCGAAUUUAUGUCUAUUAAUAUAAAACAUUCAACUCUACUCUCAUUGGAGGGGAUUAUGCUAUUUAGACUUGAUGAAUGAAGUAAAAGACAGAUCAAUUCCAAACAUGUAUACAACUGCACAUUUUAAAUUAUUGAUUUCUUUCUCAGCAAGCAGGAGCUUCAUUUCCUUUUAUUAUAUUUUGAUUGAAGAGAGGACAAAAUAUUCACUGACCAGUAGAAUGUGAGACCUGAGGUUUACUGUACUGUAUAAACUUUUUAAGCUUCUAGUGUCCACAUGUAUAAAAUGUUGUAAAGAUCGUAUCAUUAAUCAUUUAAUAAACACAUAAAUGAGAGCUAAUAUUAUGUCAUUUCAUGAUCUGAGCCCAACUGCCUAGAUUUUGACUAGUGAUGUUAAGAAAAAUCACCAUAUGACUGCAAGUUUGCAUGGUUACUCAAGCACCUGUAGUCUCUGGAUUCCACAUAAAGGGCAUACACUUAAACUCUUUUUUCCUAGCCGGAGGUAAGGUGCUCUGAGCUGUGUUCUGGGAAAAGGAAUUAGGGAGGGGAGAGCCAGAUUUCAAGCAUAUUCAUUUCACUCAAAGCAGCUCUCUCAAGAUGCUGAAUCUGUGACUGUUGUCAUCUUCAAUCCGCUGAGCCAACUGAACCAGGUAAGUAGCUAGACAGCAAUAAAUCCCAUCUUCCGCCCAAGACAGUUGUAGAUUGCUAGUUGUAGAAUACAGGGGUGCCUCUUCCUUCUGAUAGUUUUCUCUCAGUCCCUGGGAAACUCAGCAAAAAAAGUCUGCCUGCAGAGAUAUGCCUUGGACUCUGCCUCUGGCAGCCCAUCAGAGGACGAGACUUCUAAGGGCCCUGUUGUAAGAAUUUCUGCUGCAGAUCACAGAGACUUAUGUGCUGGAAACUGAUACCAGAAGCACCCCAGCUGGUCUUAACUCCCAUGAUAGAACAGAAGACCAGAGGUGACUUUUUACAUAACUGGGUCCCCAUCCAUUCUAUUUUAAAUUCCACCUGGAUGCUACAAGUGUGGAACAGAGCACAGGCUUGUGACCACUGGCUCUCAGGAGGGGGUGGAGAAUGGCAUUCUGGAUAGCCUGCUGUCCUUUAGUGGCCAGAAAAACCCGCAGGAAUGACAGACUUGGAGGAACAGAGGAGACACCAGUGAUAGUCCCAGGAGAAAGAGCAGGAGUUGGAAAGGGAUGAUGCUUUGCUUUUUAAAUUUCCACAACCACAAAAGUUAAAAGUUUUUUGUUUACUCAUCCUAGCAAUUAAGGUUCAAGAAGGCUUGUAAAGUGUUAGUAGAA